This 443-nucleotide long non-coding RNA is filed under the name Marmota monax (woodchuck). Lineage: Eukaryota; Metazoa; Chordata; Mammalia; Rodentia; Sciuridae. The record is from RNAcentral.
AGUGCCUUGUGCAUGCUAGGCGAGCACUCUACCACCGAGCCACAACCCCAGCCCUUAAGGGGACUUCUUUAGAUGGGAAUUUUAGAUUAGAAAUAAAGUACAGGUAUACUUUAAACUUAAAGGUUAAUGAUAGGUUAGGAGACUUAGAGUCUGGUUAUGUAGUUUGGAAUCUGUUAAUAAGAAAAUAGUACAUCUUGGGAAAAAUAGUACAUCUUGGGAAGUCUGAAAAGUGCAAAUUAGUGGUGCAUUUUAUUAAUAAUUUUGUACCCAUAAUAACUGAUAAGGAAAUGUCACAUCCUGGAAAAAUGUAAAUUGAUGUCACAUUUUUCUAUACCCCUAAUGAUUGUUAAGGAAAUGUCACAUCUUGGCAAAAUUUGGAAAUUGUAUAAUCAAUGACAUAUUCUGAAUCCAUAAUGAUGAGAAAAAUUGCAAUAAAAGAUGAC